RNAcentral lists this transfer RNA (132 nucleotides) under Spiroplasmataceae bacterium. RNAcentral's name for it is "tRNA-Leu". It matches the Rfam family "tRNA". From Rfam's summary of the family: Transfer RNA (tRNA) molecules are approximately 80 nucleotides in length. Lineage: Bacteria; Bacillati; Mycoplasmatota; Mollicutes; Entomoplasmatales; Spiroplasmataceae. The record is from RNAcentral.
GCGGAACUGGGGAAAUGGUAGAAACACAAAUAUGUGGUGAUUGUGUGCAAAACCCCCAAAAGGAGCUACACGCAAGAAUGAGGUUCUUGUGAACGCAAGUUUGUGAGGGUUCGAGUCCCUUGUUCCGUACCA